CUGACUGGGUAGGAGGGGCUUGGCAGGAGAAGCCUGGAGGCAGCUCAUGCUGACUGGGCAGGAGAGGCUGGACAGGAAAGCCCAGAGGUGGUUCGUGCUGACUGGGCAGAAGCAACAGGCUGGGGUAACCACUGAGGAGCAACUCAAAGGAAAAAAAGAAGAUGACAACAGAAGAAAAAAAAACUCCAAGAGAAGAAAAGGCCAGUCAAAAACCACACACACAUUGCACACAUGGCCCUCCCUGUGGCAUUUACACUUGUCCACCUAGGCUUAAUCCCCCUGGAGGGACUAGGGGAAACGACCUCUCCGUAAACGGAGAUCAAGGUCCGCUCCUUACCAAGAGAAAUCCUUUAUGGGCCCAUUGCGCACCUGUGGCUGAGUGACCCCCCUUUAAGAAGGGUUGAGGUCUCUGUGCAUUUCGGCUCUUCAGGACUUAGCCUUUAACACGCCCCGUGCCACUGACCUCUCGCUGUAAGAAGGGUGCGGGUCUCCCCUUUCUAGCUUGUCUUGGGCCGCUGGCACUUGCUGGGCAAAGAGACCACCCUCUACCGAGGGAAUAGAGGUCUCUCCUUUUCAGCGCUCUUGGCAAUGGCCCAUUGAAAUGGCCCUGGCUUAAAAACCACCCUGUAAGGAGGCUUUGGGUCUCCUUCGCCAUGCUUAUGUAGCCACAAGUCACUUUGACAUGCCAGGCAAAAGGACCGCCCUGUAACCAGGGCCUAAGGUCUUAUCCCUCUCAUUCUUAAACUAGCAGAACCCCCUUGUGCCUCUGGCUGAGUGACCCCCCUUUAAGAAGGGUCGAGGUCUCUCUGGCUUUCUACUAUUCAGGACCUAGCCUUUAAAAUACCCUGUGCCGAUGACCUCUCCCUGUAAGAAGGGUGCAGGUCUCCCCUUUCUAGCUUGUCUUGGGCCGCUGGCACUUGCUGGGCAAAGGGACCACCCUCUACCGAGGGAAUGGAGGUCCCUCCUUUUCAGCGCUUUUGGCAAUGGCCCAUUGGGAUGCGCCUGGCUUAAGGACCACCCUGUAAGGAGGGUUUGGGUCUCCUUCCCCACCCUUAUUUAGACACAGGUCACUUUGACACGCCAGGUAAAAGGACCGCCCUGUAACCAGGGCCUAAGGUCUUAUCCCUCUCAUUCUUAAACUAGCAGAACCCCCUUGUGCCUCUGGCUGAGUGACCCCCCUUUAAGAAGGGUUGAGGUUCUACUUCGGCUAGUCACCGUAAAUGGCACUAGAAUGAUUUCUACUUGGCUCUUCUGGGUUCUGAAGUGAAAUCUGAUUUGUGUCCCAUGGAUUUCCUGUCCGGGACACAUGGAACCAGGUGUGGCGAAGGGGCGGCUGUAAGGGGAUGGUGGAGGCCGUGAAAAAUUCAACCCUUUCCUCAAAAAAGCCAAGAAAUCACCAAAGUCCAAAGUGAGCUCCCUCUAACUAGGGUGUAGGUCUUUCUCUCACUUUCCCAAGAUUACACUCCCCUUUGAAAGCUAGUUCUAGAAACCAGCCUCUUGAGAGAGUUAAGGGUUUGCCCUUGUAGCUGCCCUGUGCCCGUGGCCUCCUCACGCACUCAGCCAAGUCAAAGCCCAGCAUACUCUGCAUCCGGAUGGCCCUGAGUUCUGCUGCAAGCUCUCCUGCCUUCUGCUACGGAUUGGUGCCGAAGCCUAGGAACUGGGCAACUCAAAGGACAAAAUGAAGACGACGACAGAAGCACCAAAGAAACUGCAGGAAAAGAGAAGAAAAGGCCAGUCAAAAACCACACACACAUUGCACACAUGGCCCUCCCUGUGGCAUUUAAACUUGUCCGCCUAGGCUUAACCCCCCUGGAGGGACCAGGGGAAAGGACCUCUCCGUAAACGGAGAUCAAGGUCCGCUCCUUGCCAAGAGAAAUGCUUUAUGGGCCCAUUGCGCACCUGCGGCUGAGUGACCCCCCUUUAAGAAGGGUUGAGGUCUCUGUGCAUUUCGGCUCUUCAGGACUUAGCCUUUAACAUGCCCCGUGCCAAUGACCUCUCCCUGUAAGAAGGGUGCAGGUCUCCCCUUUCUAGCUUGUCUUGGGCCGCUGGCACUUGCUGGGCAAAGAGACCACCCUCUACCGAGGGAAUGGGGGUCUCUCCUUUUCAGCGCUCUUGGCAAUGGCCCAUUGAAAUGGCCCUGGCUUAAAGACCACCCUGUAAGGAGGGUUUGGGUCUCCUUCGCCACGCUUAUGUAGCCACAUGCCAGGCAAAAGGACCGCCCUGUAACCAGGGUGUAAGGUCUUAGCCCUCUCGUUCUUAAACUAGGAGAGCCUCUUUGUGCCUGUGGCUGAGUGACCCCCCUUUAAGAAGGGUUGCGGUUCCAGUUCUGUUAGUCGCAGAAAAUUCCCCAAGAAUGAUUUCUAUUUGGCUUUUUUGAGCUUUGAGGUGAAAUCUUAUUUGUGACCCGUGUAUUUCUUCUCCGGGUCACGUGUAACCCGGUGUGGCGAAGGGGCGGCUGUAAGGGGAUGGUGGAGGCCGUGAAAAAUUCGACCCUUCUUUCCCAGAGAGCCAACAAAUCGGCCCAAAUUCCGUAUCUCACAAAGUCUGGAACUGAACAGGUGAGGAAGCGGGCUCCUUUCAGAGCCUCAUUUCCAUGCAAUCCUUCCUCAUCUCCUCUUGCCCUGCCCAAUUUACACUGCCCAAUCAACCUCAGCUUUGAGCCCGUGUUUGAUUCGGCACAAGAAAGACGUUGCUGGACGUAGCAUUUGUAAGGGUACAGAUUCGGAGAGCUCCGUAAGUUGUGUCUGAAUUCCAGGCCUUUUGUUUCUUUGCUGACAGAACGAGGCUAUUCCUAGGGCUAUGUUUGAAGUGAUUGAUGCAGCUGUCCUUUUGGAAAUGUGCUCAUGCUCAGCUGGUGUAGGUUCUUGGCGUGGUAUUCAGAACUUGCACGGGGGUGCACCUAACCCUACUAACAGGACUGUGUUUUGGUCAAGGUUAGGGGGCACAAAGUUGAAAUUUUCUUGGUGGGGUAGGAAGGUAAGUCGGGAAGGGUGUUGCCGAGGGAUGGAGGAUUUAAUGGUAAUGCGAGACUCAGCGGGACUCCUCCCUUACCUGUUCAUUACCAGAUCUUUUCACAUUGGGGACUUUCCCCCCUUUCUUUAAAGGAGGACUAUUUUCCUAAAGAAAGGGUGACCGCCCUGUACUCAGGGAUCGGGUCUGUUUCCCUUUUCUCCUCUCUGCGUUGGCCCUUUUAAUGCCAAAGUCCCUGGCUGGCCAAAGAGAGCCCCCUCUACCGAGGGAAUGGAGGUCUCUCCUUUUCAGCGCUUUUGGCAAUGGCCCAUUGGGAUGCGCCUGGCUUAAGGACCACCCUGUAAGGAGGGUUUGGGUCUCCUUCGCCACGCUUAUGUAGCCACAGCUCACUUUGAUACGCCAGGCAAAAGGACCGCCCUGUAACCAGGGUGUAAGGUCUUAGCCCUCUCAUUCUUGAACUAGGAGAGCCUCUUUGUGCCUGUGGCUGAGUGACCCCCCUUUAAGAAGGGUCGAGGUCUCUCUGGCUUUCUGCUAUUUAGAACCUAGCCUUUAAUAUGCCCCGUGCCACUGACCUCUCCCUGUAAGAAGGGUGCAGGUCUCCCCUUUCUAGCUUGUCUUGGGCCGCUGGCACUUGCUGGGCAAAGGGACCACCCUCUACCGAGGGAAUGGAGGUCCCUCCUUUUCAGCGCUUUUGGCAAUGGCCCAUUGGGAUGCGCCUGGCUUAAGGACCACCCUGUAAGGAGGGUUUGGGUCUCCUUCCCCACCCUUAUUUAGACACAGGUCACUUUGACACGCCAGGUAAAAGGACCGCCCUGUAACCAGGGCCUAAGGUCUUAUCCCUCUCAUUCUUAAACUAGCAGAACCCCCUUGUGCCUCUGGCUGAGUGACCCCCCUUUAAGAAGGGUUGAGGUUCUACUUCGGCUAGUCACCGUAAAUGGCACUAGAAUGAUUUCUACUUGGCUCUUCUGGGUUCUGAAGUGAAAUCUGAUUUGUGUCCCAUGGAUUUCCUGUCCGGGACACAUGGAACCAGGUGUGGCGAAGGGGCGGCUGUAAGGGGAUGGUGGAGGCCGUGAAAAAUUCAACCCUUUCCUCAAAAAAGCCAAGAAAUCACCAAAGUCCAAAGUGAGCUCCCUCUAACUAGGGUGUAGGUCUUUCUCUCACUUUCCCAAGAUUACACUCCCCUUUGAAAGCUAGUUCUAGAAACCAGCCUCUUGAGAGAGUUAAGGGUUUGCCCUUGUAGCUGCCCUGUGCCCGUGGCCUCCUCACGCACUCAGCCAAGUCAAAGCCCAGCGUACUCUGCAUCCGGAUGGCCCUGAGUUCUGCUGCAAGCUCUCCUGCCUUCUGCUACGGAUUGGUGCCGAAGCCUAGGAACUGGGCAACUCAAAGGACAAAAUGAAGACGACGACAGAAGCACCAAAGAAACUGCAGGAAAAGAGAAGAAAAGGCCAGUCAAAAACCACACACACAUUGCACACAUGGCCCUCCCUGUGGCAUUUACACUUGUCCGCCUAGGCUUAAUCCCCCUGGAGGGACCAGGGGAAAGGACCUCUCCGUAAACGGAGAUCAAGGUCCGCUCCUUGCCAAGAGAAAUGCUUUAUGGGCCCAAUGCGCACCUGCGGCUGAGUGACCCCCCUUUAAGAAGGGUUGAGGUCUCUGUGCAUUUCGGCUCUACAGGACUUAGCCUUUAACAUGCCCCGUGCCACUGACCUCUCCCUGUAAGAAGGGUGCGGGUCUCCCCUUUCUAGCUUGUCUUGGGCCGCUGGCACUUGCUGGGCAAAGGGACCACCCUCUACCGAGGGAAUGGAGGUCUCUCCUUUUCAGCGCUUUUGGCAAUGGCCCAUUGAAAUGCCCCUGGCUUAAGGACCACCCUGUAAGGAGGGUUUGGGUCUCCUUCGCCACGCUUAUGUAGCCACAGAUCACUUGGACACGCCAGGCAAAAGGACCGCCCUGUAACCGGGGCCUAAGGUCUUAUCCCUCUCAUUCUUAAACUAGCAGAACCCCCUUGUGCCUCUGGCUGAGUGACCCCCCUUUAAGAAGGGUCGAGGUCUCUCUGGCUUUCUACUAUUCAGGACCUAGCCUUUAAAAUGCCCUGUGCCAAUGAUCUCUCCCUGUAAGAAGGGUGCAGGUCUCCCCUUUCUAGCUUGUCUUGGGCCGCUGGCACUUGCUGGGCAAAGAGACCACCCUCUACCGAGGGAAUGGGGGUCUCUCCUUUUCAGCGCUCUUGGCAAUGGCCCAUUGAAAUGGCCCUGGCUUAAAGACCACCCUGUAAGGAGGGUUUGGGUCUCCUUCGCCACGCUUAUGUAGCCACAUGCCAGGCAAAAGGACCGCCCUGUAACCAGGGUGUAAGGUCUUAGCCCUCUCGUUCUUAAACUAGGAGAGCCUCUUUGUGCCUGUGGCUGAGUGACCCCCCUUUAAGAAGGGUUGCGGUUCCAGUUCUGUUAGUCGCAGAAAAUUCCCCAAGAAUGAUUUCUAUUUGGCUUUUUUGAGCUUUGAGGUGAAAUCUUAUUUGUGACCCGUGUAUUUCUUCUCCGGGUCACGUGUAACCCGGUGUGGCGAAGGGGCGGCUGUAAGGGGAUGGUGGAGGCCGUGAAAAAUUCGACCCUUCUUUCCCAGAGAGCCAACAAAUCGGCCCAAAUUCCGUAUCUCACAAAGUCUGGAACUGAACAGGUGAGGAAGCGGGCUCCUUUCAGAGCCUCACUUCCAUGCAAUCCUUCCUCAUCUCCUCUUGCCCUGCCCAAUUUACACUGCCCAAUCAACCUCAGCUUUGAGCCCGUGUUUGAUUCGGCACAAGAAAGACGUUGCUGGACGUAGCAUUUGUAAGGGUACAGAUUCGGAGAGCUCCGUAAGUUGUGUCUGAAUUCCAGGCCUUUUGUUUCUUUGCUGACAGAACGAGGCUAUUCCUAGGGCUAUGUUUGACGUGAUUGAUGUGGCUGUCCUUUUGGAAAUGUGCUCAUGCUCAGCUGGUGUAGGUUCUUGGCGUGGUAUUCAGAACUUGCACGGGGGUGCACCUAACCCUACUAACAGGACUGUGUUUUGGUCAAGGUUAGGGGGCACAAAGUUGAAAUUUUCUUGGUGGGGUAGGAAGGUAAGUCGGGAAGGGUGUUGCCGAGGGAUGGAGGAUUUAAUGGUAAUGCGAGACUCAGCGGGACUCCUCCCUUACCUGUUCAUUACCAGAUCUUUUCACAUUGGGGACUUUCCCCCCCUUCUUUAAAGGAGGACUAUUUUCCUAAAGAAAGGGUGACCGCCCUGUACUCAGGGAUCGGGUCUGUUUCCCUUUUCUCCUCUCUGCGUUGGCCCUUUUAAUGCCAAAGUCCCUGGCUGGCCAAAGAGAGCCCCCUCUACCGAGGGAAUGGAGGUCUCUCCUUUUCAGCGCUUUUGGCAAUGGCCCAUUGGGAUGCGCCUGGCUUAAGGACCACCCUGUAAGGAGGGUUUGGGUCUCCUUCGCCACGCUUAUGUAGCCACAGCUCACUUUGAUACGCCAGGCAAAAGGACCGCCCUGUAACCAGGGUGUAAGGUCUUAGCCCUCUCAUUCUUGAACUAGGAGAGCCUCUUUGUGCCUCUGGCUGAGUGACCCCCCUUUAAGAAGGGUCGAGGUCUCUCUGGCUUUCUGCUAUUUAGAACCUAGCCUUUAAUAUGACCCGUGCCACUGACCUCUCCCUGUAAGAAGGGUGCAGGUCUCCCCUUUCUAGCUUGUCUUGGGCCGCUGGCACUUGCUGGGCAAAGGGACCACCCUCUACCGAGGGAAUGGAGGUCCCUCCUUUUCAGCGCUUUUGGCAAUGGCCCAUUGGGAUGCGCCUGGCUUAAGGACCACCCUGUAAGGAGGGUUUGGGUCUCCUUCCCCACCCUUAUUUAGACACAGGUCACUUUGACACGCCAGGUAAAAGGACCGCCCUGUAACCAGGGCCUAAGGUCUUAUCCCUCUCAUUCUUAAACUAGCAGAACCCCCUUGUGCCUCUGGCUGAGUGACCCCCCUUUAAGAAGGGUUGAGGUUCUACUUCGGCUAGUCACCGUAAAUGGCACUAGAAUGAUUUCUACUUGGCUCUUCUGGGUUCUGAAGUGAAAUCUGAUUUGUGUCCCAUGGAUUUCCUGUCCGGGACACAUGGAACCAGGUGUGGCGAAGGGGCGGCUGUAAGGGGAUGGUGGAGGCCGUGAAAAAUUCAACCCUUUCCUCAAAAAAGCCAAGAAAUCACCAAAGUCCAAAGUGAGCUCCCUCUAACUAGGGUGUAGGUCUUUCUCUCACUUUCCCAAGAUUACACUCCCCUUUGAAAGCUAGUUCUAGAAACCAGCCUCUUGAGAGAGUUAAGGGUUUGCCCUUGUAGCUGCCCUGUGCCCGUGGCCUCCUCACGCACUCAGCCAAGUCAAAGCCCAGCGUACUCUGCAUCCGGAUGGCCCUGAGUUCUGCUGCAAGCUCUCCUGCCUUCUGCUACGGAUUGGUGCCGAAGCCUAGGAACUGGGCAACUCAAAGGACAAAAUGAAGACGACGACAGAAGCACCAAAGAAACUGCAGGAAAAGAGAAGAAAAGGCCAGUCAAAAACCACACACACAUUGCACACAUGGCCCUCCCUGUGGCAUUUACACUUGUCCGCCUAGGCUUAAUCCCCCUGGAGGGACCAGGGGAAAGGACCUCUCCGUAAACGGAGAUCAAGGUCCGCUCCUUGCCAAGAGAAAUGCUUUAUGGGCCCAUUGCGCACCUGCGGCUGAGUGACCCCCCUUUAAGAAGGGUUUAGGUCUCUGUGCAUUUCGGCUCUUCAGGACUUAGCCUUUAACAUGCCCCGUGCCACUGACCUCUCCCUGUAA
Molecule: long non-coding RNA, 7768 nt
Organism: Mauremys mutica (yellowpond turtle)
Lineage: Eukaryota; Metazoa; Chordata; Testudines; Geoemydidae
Exons: 5
Source: RefSeq, a predicted model, not a curated record